This 301-nucleotide ribosomal RNA is filed under the name uncultured bacterium. RNAcentral describes it as "partial 16S ribosomal RNA". It matches the Rfam family "Bacterial small subunit ribosomal RNA", at positions 509 to 807 of the family's 1533-position model. The record is from RNAcentral.
CAGUCGCCACGGUAAAACGGAGGGUGCAAGCGUUAAUCGGAAUUACUGGGCGUAAAGCGUGCGUAGGCGGUUUGUUAAGUCUGCUGUGAAAUCCCCGGGCUCAACCUGGGAAUGGCAGUGGAUACUGGCAAGCUAGAGUGUGUCAGAGGAUGGUGGAAUUCCCGGUGUAGCGGUGAAAUGCGUAGAGAUCGGGAGGAACAUCAGUGGCGAAGGCGGCCAUCUGGGACAACACUGACGCUGAGGCACGAAAGCGUGGGGAGCAAACAGGAUUAGAGACCCGUGUAGUCCCUGUCUCUUAUAC